This is a long non-coding RNA of Trifolium pratense (red clover), 314 nucleotides long. RefSeq lists it as uncharacterized. The record is from RefSeq and is a predicted model, not a curated record. Lineage: Eukaryota; Viridiplantae; Streptophyta; Magnoliopsida; Fabales; Fabaceae. The transcript has 2 exons.
UGUUGGUGCUAUAGAUGGAACACAUAUACGAGUCAAAGUAUCUGCAAAAGAUGCCCCUCGAUAUCGUGGUAGGAAAGACUAUCCAACACAAAAUGUUUUAGCAGCGUGUACUUUUGAUUUAAAGUUCACUUAUGUUCUCGCGGGAUGGGAAGGUUCUGCCUCUGACUCGAGAAUAAUAAAGAAUGCACUAACACGAGAAGAUAAACUUAAAAUUCCUCAAGGAAAAUAUUAUCUUGUUGAUGCUGGCUUCAUGCUGACAAGUGGACUUAUUACACCUUAUAGAGGAGUUCGGUAUCACUUGAAAGAAUAUUCGG